This 2101-nucleotide long non-coding RNA is filed under the name Homo sapiens (human). RNAcentral's name for it is "non-protein coding lnc-SLC7A2-1:1". Lineage: Eukaryota; Metazoa; Chordata; Mammalia; Primates; Hominidae. The record is from RNAcentral.
AGGAUCACUCUCUUGCUGCUCUGUCUGGGAGUGUUUCUAUUCCUUUCUGGAUGGCCCCAGAUUGCACACUGUCAAUACCACAGCCCCCCAGAAGUGGUGAUACCUGUCAGGAUAACUGGCAUUGGUAGAAACAUAAAGCUUCCAGGCUGGCUCUCAUAUAGCCUGUGCUUUGGGGAACAGAGACACAUUGUCCACAUGAAGGCCAAGAAGAAUCUGAUAUCCAGAUACCUUUCUGUGUUCAGUUACACUGAUCAGGGUGCUCUCCUUGAGAACCAACCUUUUGUCCAAAGUGAUUGCUACUACCAUGGUUAUAUGGAAGGGGACCCAGAGUCCCUGGUUGCUCUCAGCACCUGUUUUGGGGUCUUUUAAGGAAUACCACGAGUAAAUGAUGUUGUUUAUGAAAUCAAGCCCAAAGGCUUUCUGCCACAUUUGAACAUCUGGUGUAUAAGCUAGAUAGCAAGGAGACGCAAUUCCCACCCUUAGGAUGUGGAUUAACAGAAGAAGAAAUAGCACGACAAUUGAAGUUUCAAGACAGUGAUAACUCCACUCUGAUGCAAAGCACCUAUGAGGGCUAGCGGACCCACAGAUGGCUUCUUGAACUGGCAGUGGUGGUAGACCGCACACGAUUCCUUUAUCAGAAAAGGAAUAUUUCAAAUGUGCAGAAGGAUGUAAGCCUUAUUAUCAAUGAAGUAGAUGCCUUUUAUUCUUCAGUAGAAGUUGUUGUGGUUUUACUUGGAAUUGAGAUUUCGAUCGAAGGAAACCCCAUAGCAAUAAAUGACCUAUAUGCAGUCCUGCCAGAAUUUUGCAAAUGGAAGAAGGUCAGCUUAAAUUCCCACAUAAAACAUGAUGCUGUACAUCUUAUUGUGAAGAAAGGAUAUGGUAGAUUUGCUGGCUUAUCCUACCUCGGAACAGGAUGUAGUCUUGCUGGUAAUUGUGGAGUUGUUAGUUUCCUGGAUGACCAAAUGCUUAGAUUUGCAUUCAUUAUGGCACAUGAGCUUGGCCAUACUUUGGGUACGCCACAUGAUAGAAUCCCAUGUACAUGUGCGGAGAAAAUAUGCAUAAUGUGUCCGACAGUAAACAUCACAUAUAGGUUCAGCAACUGCUGUUACGAGAUGUUGUUCGCAACCACUGUGAAAACGACCUGUUUGCGUGGUUCGCCAAAUCCAGAGAACAUCUUCACACACAAGUACUGUGGGAACGGUGUGUUUGAGGAAGGAGAGGAGUGUGACUGUGGAUCUUUAUUCUUGUGUACUCAAGAUCUGUGUUGUUUGGCAAACUGUACUCUGAAACCUGGGGCUGCUUGCGCUUUUGGACUUUGUUGCAAAGACUGACAGUUUCUUCCAUCAGGACACUGGUGUAGAGAAAAGCACAAUGAAUGUGAUCUUUCAGAGAGGUGCGAUGGAACUUUGCAUAAUUGUCCAGAAGAUGUGUAUGUGCAGGAUGGCCUUGGUUGCAUGGACAGUGGCUACCGCUGUCAAAAGGCAUGUAGAAACCAUGAUGGACAGUGUAAACACAUUUUUGAGAAGGUAGCCAAGAGUGCAAAUCAGAGUUGCUACAGGGUGAACACCGACGGUGACUGUUUGGCCACUGUGGUUUCAAUAACACUAAAUAUGUAAGAUGUAAUAUUUCAGAUAUCCUGUGUGGGAGAGUUCAGUGUGAGAAUGUGACAGAAAUUCCCAUUCCGAGAGAUCAUUCUAUGAUGCAUUGGGCUCACUUCAACGGCAUCAACUGCUGGAGUACUGACUACCAUUUUGGAAUGACCAUACCUGAUAUUGGUGAAAUGAAAGAUGGCACAGAGUGUGGUUCAAAACAUGUGUGUACACAUAGGAAGUGUGUCCCUCUGCCAUUUGAGGAAAGUACUUGCUCACCUGAGACCUGUAAUAUGAGAGGCAUCUGCAACAAUAGACAUCGUCAUUGCAAUUAUAAGUGGGCCCCACCCUACUGCCUGUUAAAAGGCACAGGAGGAAGUGUUGACAGUGGCCCAUCCCCUAGGAAAAAAACAAAACUAUGAUUGCACAAGAAAAUUUUGUUGAUACUACUUUUAUUAAUUCCUGUGUGUCUCUGUUUACAUUUGUUAAUUUUGCUUAGUAAGAGCCAAAAA